UACGUAGGGGGCUAGCGUUGUCCGGAUUUAUUGGGCGUAAAGAGCGUGUAGGCGGCUUUGCAAGUCCGUUGUGAAAACUCGAGGCUCAACCUCGAGACGCCGGUGGAAACUGCAAAGCUAGAGUCCGGAAGAGGAGAGUGGAAUUCCUGGUGUAGCGGUGAAAUGCGCAGAUAUCAGGAGGAACACCCGUGGCGAAGGCGGCUCUCUGGGACGGUACUGACGCUGAGACGCGAAAGCGUGGGGAGCGAACAGG
This 253-nucleotide ribosomal RNA is filed under the name uncultured bacterium. RNAcentral's name for it is "partial 16S ribosomal RNA". It matches the Rfam family "Bacterial small subunit ribosomal RNA", at positions 524 to 776 of the family's 1533-position model. The record is from RNAcentral.